GAUGUUCAGAUGCACAUUGAAACAGCUGCUGAAGUUUGUCCAGAGAAUGAGACUGAGAUUGGGAACCCACGAAAAGGUCAAAAAGUGUGCUGGUCAACUGCUGAGGUUACGGCUGUGAUGAAACAUUUUAAAUCGCACAUAACCAAAGGAAAACUGGCCACACUGACUGAAUGCCAGCAGUGUAAGACUGCUGAGGAUCCUGUUUUGGCAAGGCGCACUGCACAAAACAUAAGAGAUUUCGUACGAAACCGAGGGAUUAGUAUGAAAAGAAAAUCUCAAAAUAAGUGACCCAUCCUUGUUUGAUGAGCAGUAUGCCAUUUAUUUGAAAUUGUACUCUCGUUAUUUUGUUAGCUUUCAUUUCCAGUUUCUAGAGUUGUUCUUAAAGGGAUAGUUCACCCAAAAAUAGAAAUUCUGUCAUCAUUUAAUCAUCCUCUUUUCACCCUGUAUGAAAAAUAUUUUGAAGAAUGUUGGUAGGCAAACAACGGCGGUACCCAUUGACUUGCAUUGGUUUUGUGUAAUUAGAAACUGCUAUUGUUUGGUUACCAACAUUCUUCAAAAUAUCUUCCUUUGUGUUCUACAGAAGAAAUUAAAUCAUACUGGAUUAAAAUUAUAACAGAAGUUUCAUUUUUGGGUGAACUAUCCCUUUGAAGUUUCUUGAAACUAUGCCGAAUUUAAGUUUAGUGAGGGCAUCUUGUUUCAAUGCCUUGCCGUCAUCUCAGUAUGGCUUGUUUUUAAUGGGCUAUAUUGUUAAGAUUGUUUUAUAUGGCUUUUCUAUAUGUGAUGUUUUUUUUCUUUGUAAAUGGGCACAUCAUCUUAAAUCUCUUAGUUUAUAUUAAAAUAAACUAAUAAAUACUUGCAUUGGUGA
Molecule: long non-coding RNA, 865 nt
Organism: Triplophysa rosa
Lineage: Eukaryota; Metazoa; Chordata; Actinopteri; Cypriniformes; Nemacheilidae
Exons: 2
Source: RefSeq, a predicted model, not a curated record